This 875-nucleotide ribosomal RNA is filed under the name Enterococcus faecium. RNAcentral describes it as "bacterial SSU rRNA". It matches the Rfam family "Bacterial small subunit ribosomal RNA", at positions 56 to 901 of the family's 1533-position model. Lineage: Bacteria; Bacillati; Bacillota; Bacilli; Lactobacillales; Enterococcaceae. The record is from RNAcentral.
UGCAGUCGAACGCUUCUUUUUCCACCGGAGCUUGCUCCACCGGAAAAAGAGGAGUGGCGAACGGGUGAGUAACACGUGGGUAACCUGCCCAUCAGAAGGGGAUAACACUUGGAAACAGGUGCUAAUACCGUAUAACAAUCAAAACCGCAUGGUUUUGAUUUGAAAGGCGCUUUCGGGUGUCGCUGAUGGAUGGACCCGCGGUGCAUUAGCUAGUUGGUGAGGUAACGGCUCACCAAGGCCACGAUGCAUAGCCGACCUGAGAGGGUGAUCGGCCACAUUGGGACUGAGACACGGCCCAAACUCCUACGGGAGGCAGCAGUAGGGAAUCUUCGGCAAUGGACGAAAGUCUGACCGAGCAACGCCGCGUGAGUGAAGAAGGUUUUCGGAUCGUAAAACUCUGUUGUUAGAGAAGAACAAGGAUGAGAGUAACUGUUCAUCCCUUGACGGUAUCUAACCAGAAAGCCACGGCUAACUACGUGCCAGCAGCCGCGGUAAUACGUAGGUGGCAAGCGUUGUCCGGAUUUAUUGGGCGUAAAGCGAGCGCAGGCGGUUUCUUAAGUCUGAUGUGAAAGCCCCCGGCUCAACCGGGGAGGGUCAUUGGAAACUGGGAGACUUGAGUGCAGAAGAGGAGAGUGGAAUUCCAUGUGUAGCGGUGAAAUGCGUAGAUAUAUGGAGGAACACCAGUGGCGAAGGCGGCUCUCUGGUCUGUAACUGACGCUGAGGCUCGAAAGCGUGGGGAGCAAACAGGAUUAGAUACCCUGGUAGUCCACGCCGUAAACGAUGAGUGCUAAGUGUUGGAGGGUUUCCGCCCUUUCAGUGCUGCAGCUAACGCAUUAAGCACUCCGCCUGGGGAGUACGACCCGCAAGGUUGAACU